UACAGAGGGUGCAAGCGUUGUUCGGAAUCAUUGGGCGUAAAGCGCACGUAGGCGGCUUGUUAAGUCGGAUGUGAAAGCCCCAGGCUCAACCUGGGAAGUGCAUUCGAAACUGGCGAGCUUGAAUGUCGGAGAGGGCAGUGGAAUUCCGAGUGUAGAGGUGAAAUUCGUAGAUAUUCGGAGGAACACCAGUGGCGAAGGCGACUGCCUGGACGAACAUUGACGCUGAGGUGCGAAAGCGUGGGGAGCAAGCAGG
Molecule: ribosomal RNA, 253 nt
Filed under: uncultured bacterium
Lineage: Bacteria
Description: partial 16S ribosomal RNA
Rfam family: Bacterial small subunit ribosomal RNA
Source: RNAcentral